This 443-nucleotide ribosomal RNA is filed under the name uncultured bacterium. Its description in RNAcentral is "partial 16S ribosomal RNA". It matches the Rfam family "Bacterial small subunit ribosomal RNA", at positions 338 to 795 of the family's 1533-position model. The record is from RNAcentral.
CCUACGGGAGUCAGCAGUGGGGAAUAUUGGGCAAUGGGCGCAAGCCUGACCCAGCAACGCCGCGUGAAGGAAGAAGGCUCUCGGGUUGUAAACUUCUUUUAUCAGGGACGAAGCAAGUGACGGUACCUGAUGAAUAAGCCACGGCUAACUACGUGCCAGCAGUCGCGGUAAUACGUAGGUGGCAAGCGUUAUCCGGAUUUACUGGGUGUAAAGGGCGUGUAGGCGGGAAAGCAAGUCAGAUGUGAAAACCAUGGGCUCAACCUGUGGCCUGCAUGUGAAACUGUUUUUCUUGAGUACUGGAGAGGCAGACGGAAUUCCUGGUGUAGCGGUGAAAUGCGUAGAUAUUAGGAGGAACACCAGUGGCGAAGGCGGUCUGCUGGACAGCAACUGACGCUGAGGCGCGAAAGCGUGGGGAGCAAACAGGAUUAGAUACCCCUGUAGUC